CUUACACAUGCAGUCGAGCGGGAUUGGCAGCAAUGCCAUGAGAGCGGCGCACGGGUGCGUAACGCGUAUGCAACCUACCUUAAGCAGGGGGAUAGCCCAUGGAAACGUGGAUUAAUACCCCAUAGUAUAUCAGAGUCGCAUGAUUUUGGUAUUAAAAUUCAGAUGGCAUAAGAUGGGCAUGCGUAGGAUUAGUUAGUUGGUGAGGUAACGGCUCACCAAGACAGCGAUCCUUAGGGGUUCUGAGAGGAUUCCCCCCCACACUGGAACUGAGACACGGUCCAGACUCCUACGGGAGGCAGCAGUGAGGAAUAUUGGUCAAUGGGCGAGAGCCUGAACCAGCCAUCCCGCGUGCAGGAAGACGGCCCUAUGGGUUGUAAACUGCUUUUCUAUUAGAAGAACAGUCCUUACGAGUUAAGGGAGUGACAGUAUAAUAGGAAUAAGCAUCGGCUAACUCCGUGCCAGCAGCCGCGGUAAUACGGAGGAUGCGAGCGUUAUCCGGAUUCAUUGGGUUUAGAGGGUGCGUAGGCGGGUUUGUAAGUCAGUGGUGAAAUACUGUCGCUUAACGAUAGGAUUGCCAUUGAUACUGCUGAUCUUGAGUAUGGUUGAGGUAGGCGGAAUGUGUUGUGUAGCGGUGAAAUGCAUAGAUAUGACACAGAACACCAAUUGCGAAGGCAGCUUACUAAUCCAUUACUGACGCUGAUGCACGAAAGCGUGGGGAUCAAACAGGAUUAGAUACCCUGGUAGUCCACGCUGUAAACGAUGUUCACUCGCUGUUUGCGAUACACAGUAAGCGGCUAAGCGAAAGCAUUAAGUGAACCACCUGGGGAGUACGAUCGCAAGGUUGAAACUCAAAGGAAUUGACGGGGGCCCGCACAAGCGGAGGAACAUGUGGUUUAAUUCGAUGAUACGCGAGGAACCUUACCUGGGCUUAAAUGUAGAUUGCAUAGGAUAGAGAUAUCCUUUCCCUUCGGGGCUAUUUACAAGGUGCUGCAUGGUUGUCGUCAGCUCGUGCCGUGAGGUGUCGGGUUAAGUCCCAUAACGAGCGCAACCCUUACCGUUAGUUGCCAUCGGGUCAAGCCGGGAACUCUAGCGGGACUGCCACCGUAAGGUGAGAGGAAGGCGGGGAUGACGUCAAAUCAGCACGGCCCUUAUGUCCAGGGCUACACACGUGUUACAAUGGCCGGUACAGAGGGCAGCUACUUAGUGAUAAGAUGCUAAUCCCAAAAGCCGGUCCCAGUUCGGAUUGGAGUCUGCAACCCGACUCCAUGAAGUUGGAUUCGCUAGUAAUCGCGCAUCAGCCAUGGCGCGGUGAAUACGUUCCCGGGCCUUGUACACACCGCCCGUCAAACCAUGGGAGCUGGGGGUACCUGAAGUCUGUGACCGCAAGGAGCGGCCUAGGUAAAAACCCAUGAAAGGG
RNAcentral lists this ribosomal RNA (1417 nucleotides) under uncultured bacterium. RNAcentral's name for it is "bacterial SSU rRNA". It matches the Rfam family "Bacterial small subunit ribosomal RNA". The record is from RNAcentral.